This 107-nucleotide small nuclear RNA is filed under the name Prolemur simus (greater bamboo lemur). The record is from RNAcentral. Lineage: Eukaryota; Metazoa; Chordata; Mammalia; Primates; Lemuridae.
GUAUUUGCUUCACCAGCACAUAUAUUAAAAUUGGAACAAUACAGAGAAGAUUAGAAUAGCCUCUGCACAAGGAGGACAUGCAAAUUCUUGAAGUGUUCCAUAUUUUU